RNAcentral lists this ribosomal RNA (595 nucleotides) under uncultured Bacteroidota bacterium. RNAcentral's name for it is "bacterial SSU rRNA". It matches the Rfam family "Bacterial small subunit ribosomal RNA", at positions 122 to 715 of the family's 1533-position model. The record is from RNAcentral. Lineage: Bacteria; Pseudomonadati; Bacteroidota.
CAACCUGCCCAUCACUUGGGGAUAACCUUGCGAAAGUAAGACUAAUACCCAAUGACGUCUCUAGAAGACAUCUGAAAGAGAUUAAAGAUUUAUCGGUGAUGGAUGGGGAUGCGUCUGAUUAGCUUGUUGGCGGGGUAACGGCCCACCAAGGCGACGAUCAGUAGGGGUUCUGAGAGGAAGGUCCCCCACAUUGGAACUGAGACACGGUCCAAACUCCUACGGGAGGCAGCAGUGAGGAAUAUUGGUCAAUGGACGAGAGUCUGAACCAGCCAAGUAGCGUGCAGGAUGACGGCCCUAUGGGUUGUAAACUGCUUUUAUAAGGGAAUAAAGUGAGCCUCGUGAGGCUUUUUGCAUGUACCUUAUGAAUAAGGACCGGCUAAUUCCGUGCCAGCAGCCGCGGUAAUACGGAAGGUCCGGGCGUUAUCCGGAUUUAUUGGGUUUAAAGGGAGCGUAGGCCGGAGAUUAAGCGUGUUGUGAAAUGUAGACGCUCAACGUCUGCACUGCAGCGCGAACUGGUUUCCUUGAGUACGCACAAAGUGGGCGGAAUUCGUGGUGUAGCGGUGAAAUGCUUAGAUAUCACGAAGAACUCCGAUUG